UGGAAACAGCCCAUAGAGGCCUGAGAUCUAC
Molecule: non-coding RNA, 31 nt
Filed under: Mus musculus (house mouse)
Lineage: Eukaryota; Metazoa; Chordata; Mammalia; Rodentia; Muridae
Source: RNAcentral